This 303-nucleotide ribosomal RNA is filed under the name uncultured bacterium. RNAcentral describes it as "partial 16S ribosomal RNA". It matches the Rfam family "Bacterial small subunit ribosomal RNA", at positions 507 to 807 of the family's 1533-position model. The record is from RNAcentral.
AGCAGCAGCCACGGUAAUACAGAGGGUGCGAGCGUUAAUCGGAUUUACUGGGCGUAAAGCGUGCGUAGGCGGCUUCUUAAGUCGGAUGUGAAAUCCCUGAGCUUAACUUAGGAAUUGCAUUUGAUACUGGGAAGCUAGAGUAUGGGAGAGGAUGGUAGAAUUCCAGGUGUAGCGGUGAAAUGCGUAGAGAUCUGGAGGAAUACCGAUGGCGAAGGCAGCCAUCUGGCCUAAUACUGACGCUGAGGUACGAAAGCAUGGGGAGCAAACAGGAUUAGAUACCCCCGUAGUCCCUGUCUCUUAUAC